CAUAUUUCUUUUUUUUUUUUUUUUUUUUUUUUUUUUUUUUUUUUUUUUUUUUUUUUUUUUUUUUUUUUUUUUUUUUUUUUUUUUUUUUUUUUUUUUUUUUUUUUUUUUUUUUUUUUUUUUUUUAAAAAAUUUUUUUUCAUAAGAGCACUAUUCUAUUGCUGGUUACUAAAAGAAAGAGAACCAGGUAGAGAGAACGGAAGUAGUUGAGGGAAGAUUUCGCUGUGCCCUAGACAAAGAGUCUAACUUGGCUCGGAUCAGACGCUGAAUUUCAGCAAUAA
Molecule: long non-coding RNA, 278 nt
Filed under: Brassica napus (rape)
Lineage: Eukaryota; Viridiplantae; Streptophyta; Magnoliopsida; Brassicales; Brassicaceae
Description: long non-coding RNA (BNAP_LNC011332)
Source: RNAcentral